GCGCCCGUAGCUCAGCUGGAUAGAGCAUCAGACUACGAAUCUGAGGGUCGGCGGUUCGACUCCGUCCGGGCGCACCA
This 77-nucleotide transfer RNA is filed under the name Nitrospirota bacterium. RNAcentral's name for it is "Nitrospirae bacterium (groundwater metagenome) tRNA-Arg". It matches the Rfam family "tRNA". From Rfam's summary of the family: Transfer RNA (tRNA) molecules are approximately 80 nucleotides in length. Lineage: Bacteria; Pseudomonadati; Nitrospirota. The record is from RNAcentral.